This is a non-coding RNA of Vicugna pacos (alpaca), 286 nucleotides long. The record is from RefSeq and is a predicted model, not a curated record. NCBI's taxonomy places the organism in Eukaryota, Metazoa, Chordata, Mammalia, Artiodactyla, Camelidae.
AGUCAAAGAAGUUUUGUCUGUAAUCUCACUGAACCACUACCCCAACAAUCACUCUCCUUGCUGAGGAGGGAGUUUUUCAUUUUUCUAUGUCAACCCUUAUUACAGGAUAUCUUGCAAAGACUUCCUAUGUCCAAGGAUUCCCUGAAAUCACAAUUUUUUCUGCCUAAUGGAACUAGGAGACUAUGACUAUUGUCUGUUGUUCUUAAGCAAGACCUUCAAGGCCCUUUGAAGAGGUAGCUUGAAUAUUCGUUAUAAGGAAGAAGACUUACAUAGUGUCUAAAGACCC